AUUGAACGCUGGCGGCAUGCUUUACACAUGCAAGUCGAACGGCAGCGCGGGGGCAACCCUGGCGGCGAGUGGCGAACAGGUGAGUAAUGGAUCGGAACGUAUCCUGUAAUGGGGGAUAACGUAGCGAAAGUUACGCUAAUACCGCAUACGCUCGAGAGAGGAAAGUGGGGGAUCGCAAGACCUCACGUUAUUGGAGCGGCCGAUGUCCGAUUAGCUAGUUGGUGGGGUAAAGGCCUACCAAGGCGACGAUCGGUAGCUGGUCUGAGAGGAUGAUCAGCCACACUGGGACUGAGACACGGCCCAGACUCGUACGGGAGGCAGCAGUGGGGAAUUUUGGACAAUGGGCGAAAGCCUGAUCCAGCCAUGCCGCGUGCGGGAAGAAGGCCUUCGGGUUGUAAACCGCUUUAGUCCGGGAAAAAGGGGUGCGAGGAUAAUACCCUCGUGCUUUGAUGGUACUGGAAGAAUAAGCACCGGCUAACUACGUGCCAGCAGCCGCGGUAAUGCGUAGGGUGCGAGCGUUAAUCGGAAUUACUGGGCGUAAAGCGUGCGCAGGCGGUCUUGUAAGACAGUCGUGAAAGCCCCGGGCUUAACCUGGGAACUGCGAUUGUGACUGCAAGGCUAGAGUGUGUCAGAGGGGGGUGGAAUUCCACGUGUAGCAGUGAAAUGCGUAGAGAUGUGGAGGAACACCGAUGGCGAAGGCAGCCCCCUGGGAUAACACUGACGCUCAUGCACGAAAGCGUGGGGAGCAAACAGGAUUAGAUACCCUGGUAGUCCACGCCCUAAACGAUGUCAACUGGUUGUUGGA
RNAcentral lists this ribosomal RNA (805 nucleotides) under uncultured Azonexus sp. Its description in RNAcentral is "bacterial SSU rRNA". It matches the Rfam family "Bacterial small subunit ribosomal RNA", at positions 28 to 827 of the family's 1533-position model. Lineage: Bacteria; Pseudomonadati; Pseudomonadota; Betaproteobacteria; Rhodocyclales; Azonexaceae. The record is from RNAcentral.